Long non-coding RNA from Lolium rigidum, 310 nucleotides. RefSeq lists it as uncharacterized. Lineage: Eukaryota; Viridiplantae; Streptophyta; Magnoliopsida; Poales; Poaceae. The transcript is spliced from 3 exons. The record is from RefSeq and is a predicted model, not a curated record.
CUGUGGUUGUCUUGCAAGAUCGUCCUCCUUGCUAUAUUACCAUUCUCUUAAACGGCAGGAUUUUCGGAAUCUGUAUGCACGCACCUGCAUUUCUCAUCGCGAGUAAUCAUCCUUUGACUAGGUAUUUUGUGAAUGGGACAGUCUCAUAUGCGUUUGGUGAAAAGAAAAGGUCUAGCAAAGAAUGAAGCAUCAUCGGUUUUCUAUACUGGAGCAUUCCACCAACCUCAAAGCCACUUUAUUUUUGGUUGUGCCCUGUAUGCAGUUAUCCAAUACAUAUUAACAUAAUAUAGUUGGACAAAGUUAAGACUGC